GGUGAAUCGGGAUUUUUAAUGAAGUGGGUGUGAUCACUCUUGAUUGUUUUGUGAAAUCGGAGUUACGUCUGUGAUUGGAGAAUUAAAAGGGUGUCUAUAGGAUUGAGUAUGCGGAGUGAAUGAAAUUUGUUGGGUUAAUCUAACGAGACAGUCAAUGGAUACAAGAUCGUGAGUACAAAGCGGUAUCAAAGAUUAACAGUUUGGGUUGUUCAAGGUUCUCUGUAACGUUUAGAGACCUACCGACCGGGACAAAAAGGACAUCGGCGAGCAGUUGAAGGGCAUCCGUAUAGAUUUACGGUGUAUUCUUG
Molecule: long non-coding RNA, 308 nt
Filed under: Physcomitrium patens
Lineage: Eukaryota; Viridiplantae; Streptophyta; Bryopsida; Funariales; Funariaceae
Description: long non-coding RNA (PPAT_LNC002962)
Source: RNAcentral